Molecule: ribosomal RNA, 446 nt
Filed under: uncultured bacterium
Lineage: Bacteria
Description: partial 16S ribosomal RNA
Rfam family: Bacterial small subunit ribosomal RNA
Source: RNAcentral
CCUACGGGUGGCAGCAGUCGAGAAUCAUUCACAAUGGGGGAAACCCUGAUGGUGCGACGCCGCGUGGGGGAAUGAAGGUCUUCGGAUUGUAAACUCCUGUCAUGUGGGAGCAAAGUAAAAAGAUAGUACCACAAGAGGAAGAGACGGCUAACUCUGUGCCAGCAGCCGCGGUAAUACAGAGGUCUCAAGCGUUGUUCGGAAUCACUGGGCGUAAAGCGUGCGUAGGCUGUGUCGUAAGUCGUGUGUGAAAGGCGCGGGCUCAACCCGCGGAUGGCAAAUGAUACUGGGAGGCUAGAGUACUGGAGGGGGAGGCGGAAUUCGCGGUGUAGCAGUGAAAUGCGUAGAUAUCGAGAAGAACCCUGGUGGCGAAGGCAGGUUCCUGGACAUGAACUGACGCUGAUGCACGAAGGCGAGGGGAGCGAAAGGGAUUAGAUACCCGAGUAGUC